GGAGGAAUGGCUCAGUGGUAUAGUAUCUGUCUGGCAAGCAUUAGGCCCUGAGUUCAAAUCCUAGUACUGCCC
RNAcentral lists this transfer RNA (72 nucleotides) under Dipodomys ordii (Ord's kangaroo rat). It matches the Rfam family "tRNA". From Rfam's summary of the family: Transfer RNA (tRNA) molecules are approximately 80 nucleotides in length. Their secondary structure includes four short double-helical elements and three loops (D, anti-codon, and T loops). Lineage: Eukaryota; Metazoa; Chordata; Mammalia; Rodentia; Heteromyidae. The record is from Rfam by way of RNAcentral.